GAUGAACGCUGGCGGCGUGCUUAACACAUGCAAGUCGAGCGAGAAGUUUUGAAAAGAUUCUUCGGAUGAAAUUUAAAAUGGAAAGCGGCGGACGGGUGAGUAACGCGUAGGCAACCUGCCCCAUACAAAGGGAUAGCAUUUGGAAACGAAUAUUAAUACCUUAUGAAACUUAACUAGUGCAUGCUAGGUAGGUCAAAGAUUUAUCGGUAUGGGAUGGGCCUGCGUCUGAUUAGCUAGUUGGUGAGGUAACGGCUCACCAAGUCGACGAUCAGUAGCCGACCCGAGAGGAGGAUCAGCCACACUGGAAGGGGGGCAGGGGCCAGACUGGGACGGGAGACAGGAGCGGGAAACAUGGGGGAGUGGGCGGGGGGAUAAUUCACACAUGGGGGGAAGGUGAAGAAGGCCUGCGGGGUGUAAAGGAGGAGGGCUUUGGGAGAAAAGAUUUAUGUUAAGGGCGAGAAAAACUGACGGUACCCAAAGAAAAAGCCCCGGCUAACUUCGUG
RNAcentral lists this ribosomal RNA (503 nucleotides) under uncultured bacterium. RNAcentral's name for it is "partial 16S ribosomal RNA". It matches the Rfam family "Bacterial small subunit ribosomal RNA", at positions 28 to 507 of the family's 1533-position model. The record is from RNAcentral.